RNAcentral lists this ribosomal RNA (164 nucleotides) under uncultured bacterium. RNAcentral describes it as "partial 16S ribosomal RNA". It matches the Rfam family "Bacterial small subunit ribosomal RNA", at positions 355 to 511 of the family's 1533-position model. The record is from RNAcentral.
UAGGGAAUCUUCCACAAUGGGCGAAAGCCUGAUGGAGCAACGCCGCGUGUGUGAUGAAGGGUUUCGGCUCGUAAAACACUGUUGUAAGAGAAGAAUGACAUUGAGAGUAACUGUUCAAUGUGUGACGGUAUCUUACCAGAAAGGAACGGCUAAAUACGUGCCGA